GGGGGCGACUGGUUUCGACACGAUAGUUCUGAGGGAAGAAGCAGGUCGAGGUCUCCUCGCCUCGUUAAACAGGGGUAAGACGCCAAUAAGCGUCAACAAUGAUCUUGCACUCGCUGCCUAAAUAGAGCAGCGACGCCGCCCGGUGUGUGUCUCCGACACCGGCCCCGGCGCCACUAAGGAGACUUACCGAAGCGGAGCCUGAUGGCGCUUUGCAAGGGACACUCAAGCCGUCUAGGAAGGGACUCGCGGGUCACCGUGCGACGUCCCGACCGAAUGCUAAUCGGUGACUGAGCCUGGAGAUGCUUCCCAG
This 310-nucleotide transfer-messenger RNA is filed under the name Clostridiales bacterium. It matches the Rfam family "transfer-messenger RNA", at positions 1 to 330 of the family's 374-position model. Rfam says of the family: Bacterial tmRNA, also known as 10Sa RNA or SsrA, is named for its dual tRNA and mRNA-like properties. Its role is to liberate the mRNA from a stalled ribosome. The record is from Rfam by way of RNAcentral. Lineage: Bacteria; Bacillati; Bacillota; Clostridia; Eubacteriales.